Molecule: ribosomal RNA, 498 nt
Filed under: uncultured bacterium
Lineage: Bacteria
Description: partial 16S ribosomal RNA
Rfam family: Bacterial small subunit ribosomal RNA
Source: RNAcentral
AUUGAACGCUGGCGGCAUGCUUUACACAUGCAAGUCGAACGGUAACAGGCCGCAAGGUGCUGACGAGUGGCGAACGGGUGAGUAAUGCAUCGGAACGUGCCCAGUCGUGGGGGAUAACGCAGCGAAAGCUGUGCUAAUACCGCAUACGAUCUAUGGAUGAAAGCGGGGGACCGUAAGGCCUCGCGCGAUUGGAGCGGCCGAUGUCAGAUUAGGUAGUUGGUGGGGUAAAGGCUCACCAAGCCAACGAUCUGUAGCUGGUCUGAGAGGACGACCAGCCACACUGGGACUGGGACACGGCCUAGACUCCUACGGGAGGCAGCAGUGGGGAAUUUUGGACAAUGGGCGCAAGCCUGAUCCAGCAAUGCCGCGUGCAGGAAGAAGGCCUUCGGGUUGUAAACUGCUUUUGUACGGAACGAAAAGGUUUGGGUUAAUACCCUGGGCCGAUGACGGUACCGUAAGAAUAAGCACCGGCUAACUACGUGCCAGCCGCCGCAGUAA